UACGUAAGGGGCAAGCGUUAUCCGGAUUUACUGGGUGUAAAGGAAGCGUAGACGGUGAGGCAAGUCUGAUGUGAAAACCCGGGGGCUCAACUCCGGGAUUGCAUUGGAAACUGUCUGACUUGAGUACUGGAGGGGUAAGCGGAAUUCCUGGUGUAGCGGUGAAAUGCGUAGAUAUCAGGAGGAACACCGGCGGCGAAGGCGGCUUACUGGACAGUAACUGACGUUGAGGCUCGAAAGCGUGGGGAGCAAACAGGAUUAGAUACCCACGUAGUCCCUGAGCGGG
RNAcentral lists this ribosomal RNA (283 nucleotides) under uncultured prokaryote. Its description in RNAcentral is "partial 16S ribosomal RNA". It matches the Rfam family "Bacterial small subunit ribosomal RNA", at positions 524 to 803 of the family's 1533-position model. The record is from RNAcentral.